Molecule: unclassified non-coding RNA, 1091 nt
Filed under: Hevea brasiliensis (rubber tree)
Lineage: Eukaryota; Viridiplantae; Streptophyta; Magnoliopsida; Malpighiales; Euphorbiaceae
Source: RNAcentral
UGAUUUUUUUUUUUCUGGUUGGGAAUUAUAGAUGACUAUUGCUUGUGUGAUAUAAGAUAGAUUUGUGUAUUCUAGUGCUACAUGAGCUAGUCUUUUCUGGUUUGGUUUUUAUGGAUGAGUAUUUUAUGUGUGCUAUAAGACAGAUUUGUGUGUUGUUGUACUAUAGCUAACGAAAAUGCUUUCUGUAUUAUGUCGGAUGCCUACAUAAGAAAUUUAUCAGUGUUUUUGUUAUUUGUGAUCGUUGAGAGUCUGAUGUUUAUCUAGGUUCUUUACAAAGAGUUUGCUUCCUUUAUUCAACGUAAACUGGCGAGACUGGACCAAUAUAACCAAACAUAUUCAAUGGAGUAAAAUGAGGGGUAGCCAGAUACAUAAUGUUAGUGAUAAGUUUACAUUGUAAAUGAAUUCCUUGAGUUUAUUUGUCUGGAGCUUUUUGCUAGUGUUGAAUAUAGCGCUAAGGUCAAUGAAUUAGAAUGAAUUUAAAAGUCAAAAUUAGCCAUUAGUUGCUUCAAAAAUUUUAGAUGAUCAAACACUUUGAUUUUGCUGCUAGUCAUAUACAGGUAACUAAAAUAACUCUUUAUCUUUAAUUGUGGUUUGUUGAUAAGGACCUCAAUAUCGUAUAAACCAUAGUUACAACUUUCAACAUCUUGUUCUGUUGAGUAGGGAAAGGCAUGGCUCAUAUUAAAAUCACAGCACCUGUAAAAUAUUAGAUAAUAAUAACAUGAACUCUGUAUGUACUUAGUUCACUGAUUAAUUGAAUGGUCUGAAUGAUUCUUUAGAAAGAUUCUAAACCAAAUGAUGAGUGCCAUGAAGAUUGGUGGGAACCAUUCAUAUGUACUAUAGUAUAUCCUGAUCAAGUGCAAGAUAAUUUAGUUUUGCAAGCUUGGUGAUGGCUUUUAUAUGGUAAUGGAUUCUGGUAGAACAAAGCAUGCUUGUUUGGUGUGUAUGUGGCUGGUUUGAUGAUGCUUUUCGUGAGGUCAACUCAUUGUUGAGGACUACUUGUUGAUAAAAUGCUUGUUUGGUUCAAGAAUUGAUGCUGCAGAGAGUUAUAUGUGCACUUUUGAUGUUUGCAGGACAUCACCUGAGGAUAUAAA